Molecule: ribosomal RNA, 494 nt
Filed under: uncultured bacterium
Lineage: Bacteria
Description: partial 16S ribosomal RNA
Rfam family: Bacterial small subunit ribosomal RNA
Source: RNAcentral
GACGAACGCUGGCGGCGUGCUUAACACAUGCAAGUCGAACGGUGAAGCGCCUUCCUUUUUGGUGGGUGUGGAUGAGUGGCGAACGGGUGAGUAACACGUGAGUAACCUGCCCCCUUCUUCUGGAUAACCGCAUGAAAGUGUGGCUAAUACGGGAUAUUCUGGGUCUGUCGCAUGAUGGGUCUGGGAAAGAUAUUGUUUCGGUGGGGGAUGGGCUCGCGGCCUAUCAGCUUGUUGGUGGGGUGAUGGCCUACCAAGGCGGUGACGGGUAGCCGGCCUGAGAGGGUGGGCGGUCACACUGGGACUGAGACACGGCCCAGACUCCUACGGGAGGCAGCAGGGGGGAAUAUUGCACAAUGGGCGCAAGCCUGAUGCAGCGCCGCCGCGGGAGGGAUGGAGGCCUUCGGGUUGUGAACCUCUUUCGCCAGUGAAGCAGGCCUGCCUCGUUUGUGGGUGGGUUGACGGUAGCUGGAUAAGAAGCGCCGGCUAACUACGUG